Molecule: transfer RNA, 73 nt
Filed under: Stegodyphus mimosarum
Lineage: Eukaryota; Metazoa; Arthropoda; Arachnida; Araneae; Eresidae
Rfam family: tRNA
About the family: Transfer RNA (tRNA) molecules are approximately 80 nucleotides in length. Their secondary structure includes four short double-helical elements and three loops (D, anti-codon, and T loops).
Source: Rfam by way of RNAcentral
GCCUACGUGGUGCAGCGGUUAGCACGCUCGGCGCGUAUUCGAGAGGUCCAUGGUUCGAGUCCCGGUGAGGGCA